Molecule: ribosomal RNA, 2627 nt
Filed under: fermentation metagenome
Description: bacterial LSU rRNA
Rfam family: Bacterial large subunit ribosomal RNA
Source: RNAcentral
GCAAGCUACAAAGGGCAUGCGACGGAUGCCUAGGCGCUAGGAGGCGAUGAAGGACGCGGGUGGCUGCGAAAAGCCUCGGGGAGCCGCCAACCAGGCUUCGAUCCGGGGAUGUCCGAAUGGGAAAACCCAGCCGGGUGCUGAAUCCGGUUAUCCCUGCCUGAAUACAUAGGGCAGCGGAGGCAAACCCAGGGAAGUGAAACAUCUCAGUACCUGGAGGAAGAUAAAGAAAACUCGAUUCCGGAAGUAGUGGCGAGCGAAACCGGAAGAGCCCAAACCGGGGUCACGAGAGUGGCUUCGGGGUAGCGGGGCCGCAUUUAGGACCACAGCGAGAUAGCCAAACAGGCUGGAAAGCCUGGCCAGAGAGCGUGAGAGCCGCGUCGGCGAAAUCUGGCUGUGGCCGAGCGGGAGCCCCAAGUAACGCGGGACACGUGGAACCCUGCGUGAAUCAGCGAGGACCAUCUCGUAAGGCUAAAUACUACCUAGCGACCGAUAGUGAACAAGUACCGCGAGGGAAAGGUGAAAAGAACCCCUGUGAGGGGAGCUCAAAGACCCUGAAAUCGCAUGCCUACAAGCAGUUCGAGGGCUACGCCCGUGAUCGCGUCUGGUAACAGGCGAGGGUGCGGGAAUGCCUGAGAGCGUACCUUUUGCAUCAUGAAUCGGCGACUUAAUGUACGUGGCGAGGUUAAGCCGAUAGGUGGAGCCGCAGCGAAAGCGAGUCCGAAACGGGCGAGUGAGUCGCGUGCAUUAUAACCCGAAGCGAGAUGAUCUAUGCAUGGCCAGGAUGAAGCGCGGGUAAAACCGCGUGGAGGUCCGAACUCAUGGAGGUUGAAAACUCUUGGGAUGAGCUGUGCAUAGGGGUGAAAGGCCAAUCAAAUCUCGUGAUAGCUGGUUCUCCUCGAAAGAUAUUUAGGUAUCGCCUCGGAUGGUCGCUGGCGGAGGUAGAGCACUGGAACGGCUAGGGGUCCUACCAGAUUACCAAACCGUACCAAACUCCGAAUGCCGCCAAGCGUAUAGUCCGGGAGGCAGUCGCAGGGUGAUAACGCCCCGCGGCAAAAGGGGAAUAACCCAGACCGCCGGCUAAGGUCCCCAAAUCCAGGCUAAGUGAACACUAGAAAGGAUGUGGCAGGACCCAGACAACCAGGAGGUUGGCUUAGAAGCAGCCAUCCUUUAAAGAAAGCGUAAUAGCUCACUGGUCAAGUCAGGCUGCGCCGAAAAUGUAACGGGGCUCAAGCCUGGUACCGAAGCCGCGGGUGCACCCUCUCUUGGAGGGUGUGCGGUAGAGGAGCGUCCCAGCGGGGAAGAAGCCAGAUCGCAAGGGCUGGUGGACCUGCUGGAAGUGCUGAUGCCGAUAUGAGUAGCGAUAAGGCCCGUGAGAUUCGGGCCCGCCGAAAGCCCAAGGUUUCCUGGGGAAGGUCAAUCCGCCCAGGGUUAGCCGGAGCCUAAGUCGAGGCCGAAAGGCGUAGGCGAUGGUGAGCAGGUUAAUAUUCCUGCGCUGUCAGCUUUCCAAUGAAGCGAGGUGUGACGGAGAAGGGUAGCCGGACGAGGGACGGAGAUGCUCGGCCGGGCGCUGUAGGGGUGCUCCAUACGACCAAAAGGUGGAGCAGCCAUCCCCGAGGGCGAUCGAUAGCGCGUUCAAGCGCGACUCAGGUGAUCCCAGGCUUCCAAGAAAAGCACCGCGUGGAGGGGGCUGUCAUCCGUACCGCAAACCGACUCAGGUGGGCGAGGAGAAAAUCCUAAGGCGCUUGAGAGAACUCUCUCCAAGGAACUCGGCAAGUUGCCACCGUAACUUCGGAAGAAGGUGGGCCUGUUGGCGUGUAGGGAUUUACUCCCGAAGCGCCGGCAGGUCGCAGAGAAAUGGGGGUUGCGACUGUUUACCAAAAACACAGGACUCUGCAAACACGUCAAGUGGAAGUAUAGGGUCUGACGCCUGCCCGGUGCCGGAAGGUUAAGGGGAUCCGUCAUCCGCGAGGAGAAGCGGUGAUCCGAAGCCCCGGUAAACGGCGGCCGUAACUAUAACGGUCCUAAGGUAGCGAAAUUCCUUGUCGGGUAAGUUCCGACCUGCACGAAUGGCGUAACGACAUCCCCACUGUCUCGGAGAGGGACUCAGCGAAAUUGAAAUAGCUGUGCCGAUGCAGUUUACCCGCAGCAAGACGGAAAGACCCCGUGAACCUUUACUACAACUUGACAGUGAUACUAGGGGUUACUUGUGUAGAAUAGGUGGGACGCGACGAAGCCGGGCCGCCAGGCUCGGUGGAGCGGCAAUGUGAAAUACCACCCUGGUGAUUCUUGGUAUCUAACCGAGCGCCCUGAUCGGGUGCCGGGACACUGUCUGGUGGGUAGUUUGACUGGGGCGGUCGCCUCCUAAAAAGUAACGGAGGCGCGCGAUGGUUCCCUCAGCCUGAUUGGAAACCAGGCGUCGAGUGCAAUGGCAUAAGGGAGCCUAACUGCGAGACCGACGGGUCGAGCAGGUGCGAAAGCAGGUCAUAGUGAUCCGGUGGUUCUGAAUGGAAGGGCCAUCGCUCAACGGAUAAAAGGUACUCCGGGGAUAACAGGCUUAUCUCCCCCAAGAGUUCAUAUCGACGGGGAGGUUUGGCACCUCGAUGUCGGCUCAUCGCAUCCUGGGGCUG